GACGAACGCUGGCGGCGUGCUUAACACAUGCAAGUCGAACGGAAAGGCCCUGCUUUUGUGGGGUGCUCGAGUGGCGAACGGGUGAGUAACACGUGAGUAACCUGCCCUUGACUUUGGGAUAACUUCAGGAAACUGGGGCUAAUACCGGAUAGGAGCUCCUGCUGCAUGGUGGGGGUUGGAAAGUUUCGGCGGUUGGGGAUGGACUCGCGGCUUAUCAGCUUGUUGGUGGGGUAGUGGCUUACCAAGGCUUUGACGGGUAGCCGGCCUGAGAGGGUGACCGGCCACAUUGGGACUGAGAUACGGCCCAGACUCCUACGGGAGGCAGCAGUGGGGAAUAUUGCACAAUGGGCGGAAGCCUGAUGCAGCAACGCCGCGUGCGGGAUGACGGCCUUCGGGUUGCAAACCGCUUUCGCCUGUGACGAGGCGUGAGUGACGGUAAUGGGUAAAGAAGCACCGGCUAACUACGUG
RNAcentral lists this ribosomal RNA (468 nucleotides) under uncultured bacterium. RNAcentral's name for it is "partial 16S ribosomal RNA". It matches the Rfam family "Bacterial small subunit ribosomal RNA", at positions 28 to 507 of the family's 1533-position model. The record is from RNAcentral.